RNAcentral lists this ribosomal RNA (239 nucleotides) under uncultured bacterium. Its description in RNAcentral is "partial 16S ribosomal RNA". It matches the Rfam family "Bacterial small subunit ribosomal RNA", at positions 15 to 245 of the family's 1533-position model. The record is from RNAcentral.
GAUCNGGCUCAGGAUGAACGCUAGCUACAGGCUUAACACAUGCAAGUCGAGGGGCAGCAUUUUAGUUUGCUUGCAAACUAAAGAUGGCGACCGGCGCACGGGUGAGUAACACGUAUCCAACCUGCCGAUAACUCAGGGAUAGCCUUUCGAAAGAAAGAUUAAUACCUGAUGGCAUAGGAUUAUCGCAUGAUAAUCCUAUUAAAGAAUUUCGGUUAUCGAUGGGGAUGCGUUCCAUUAGG